GUAUUGGUGGUUCAGUGGUAGAAUUUUCCCUUUCCAUGGGUGUGUGGGGGAACCUGGGUUCCAUUCCCAGCCAAUGUG
RNAcentral lists this transfer RNA (78 nucleotides) under Loxodonta africana (African savanna elephant). It matches the Rfam family "tRNA". From Rfam's summary of the family: Transfer RNA (tRNA) molecules are approximately 80 nucleotides in length. The record is from Rfam by way of RNAcentral. Lineage: Eukaryota; Metazoa; Chordata; Mammalia; Proboscidea; Elephantidae.